CUGGAAAGGCCCGCCAAAGACGGUAACAGCCCGGUAGUUGAAAUGGCUUUCCCUCCAGAGUGGAUCCUGAGUACGGCGGAACACGUGAAAUUCCGUCGGAAUCCGGGAGGACCAUCUCCCAAGGCUAAAUACUCCCUAGUGACCGAUAGUGAACCAGUACCGUGAGGGAAAGGUGAAAAGCACCCCGGAAGGGGAGUGAAACAGUUCCUGAAACCGUGUGCCUACAAGUAGUUAGAGCCCGUUAAUGGGUGAUAGCGUGCCUUUUGUAGAAUGAACCGGCGAGUUACGAUUUGUUGCAAGGUUAAGCGAAAAAAGCGGAGCCGUAGCGAAAGCGAGUCUGAAUAGGGCGCAUAAGUAACAGGUCGUAGACCCGAAACCAGGCGAUCUACCCAUGUCCAGGAUGAAGGUAAGGUAAUACUUACUGGAGGUCCGAACCCACGCACGUUGAAAAGUGCGGGGAUGAGGUGUGGGUAGCGGAGAAAUUCCAAUCGAACUUGGAGAUAGCUGGUUCUCUCCGAAAUAGCUUUAGGGCUAGCCUCGAGGUAAAGAGUCAUGGAGGUAGAGCACUGUUUGGACUAGGGGCCCUUCUCGGGUUACCGAAUUCAGAUAAACUCCGAAUGCCAUGUACUUAUACUCGGGAGU
RNAcentral lists this ribosomal RNA (642 nucleotides) under Escherichia coli. RNAcentral's name for it is "partial 23S ribosomal RNA". It matches the Rfam family "Bacterial large subunit ribosomal RNA", at positions 342 to 984 of the family's 2925-position model. Lineage: Bacteria; Pseudomonadati; Pseudomonadota; Gammaproteobacteria; Enterobacterales; Enterobacteriaceae. The record is from RNAcentral.